GACGUAGGGGGCGAGCGUUGUCCGGAAUUAUUGGGCGUAAAGGGCCCGCAGGCGGCUUGGUAAGUCGGGUGUGAAAGCUCCAAGCUUAACUUGGAGAGGCCACCUGAUACUGCUAUGGCUAGAGUCCGGUAGGGGAGCGUGGAAUUCCCGGUGUAGCGGUGAAAUGCUUAGAUAUCGGGAGGAACACCAGUGGCGAAGGCGGCGCUCUGGGCCGGAACUGACGCUCAUGGGCGAAAGCGUGGGUAGCAAACAGG
Molecule: unclassified non-coding RNA, 254 nt
Filed under: uncultured Acidimicrobiia bacterium
Lineage: Bacteria; Bacillati; Actinomycetota; Acidimicrobiia
Description: contains 16S-23S intergenic spacer region
Rfam family: Bacterial small subunit ribosomal RNA
Source: RNAcentral